RNAcentral lists this long non-coding RNA (4170 nucleotides) under Olea europaea (common olive). RNAcentral describes it as "long non-coding RNA (OEUR_LNC005053)". Lineage: Eukaryota; Viridiplantae; Streptophyta; Magnoliopsida; Lamiales; Oleaceae. The record is from RNAcentral.
GAAAUUGUUGCAUUCAUUCAUAGUUGGAAAUGUGAAAUGACUUAUAUGCUAUUUAACAUUGCAUUAAUUCUAUUUGUAUAAUGGCAUUUAUGGUAAUUCAAUUAUAAUAAAAUAUGGCUACAAAGUUUUUUGUCAACAGUCGCGGCAUAUUUAGGAGUCAACAUAUGCGGCUCCUCCCAUGCACUGUGCAAUGGUCUGAAAAGCAAAAAAAUUGGGAAGAAAAGUACAACCAGGCACGAGUGGAGUAUGGGAUCACAUGUUAACAUUUCAAUGUUUUUCAUACACGGAGUUGAGGCAUUCAAUCCAGCUGGAGGUUAGAUACAAACUUUAUUCAAACUUCAAUCAUUAGAGCAAUGACUUCUCUUAGGGUUUUAGCUUUGCUAGUGUGGACUCAAUGGCACCCUUACCAAGUAGGUAAACUUCUCACCUCUCAAUCUCUUUAUUCAUAUGUCCACGAGGAACAUGACAUCUCUCCGUGUGUUGUGUGUCUACAAUUAUUUCUAUUUUCAGAUUUGGAUUUCACCGUUUUUCUUCUAUUAAUUCAACUUUUGCUUUACAAAGAAAUAAAGAAAGUGUGAUAAAUGCCAAGUAAUCAUGCUUUUCAUGUUUAUUUCUAGAAGCGCGCGCACAUAUACUAGAGAUUUUGAAUAAGAAAGUGCUACAAAUUUUACAACUUUGAGAAAAAGUCUAUAGUUAAAAAUGAAACACCUAACAUGGCGACUCCAAUUUUAGCACUAUAAAUUGGAGAUUUUGAAACCUUGUUUAUACAUAAAAAAAAAAAAAAAAGUAAGACUUGGUGGCUUAGUAAUUAAGAAAGAUGGGAAUUAAGUUACUGGUAAUGUUAGUGAUGAUGGUGCUUUCAUUACUAAAUGGAUGGUAUUGUUUAGGGUGUUGGGAGGAAGAGAGGGUUGGUCGUCUGAACCUCAAAGCAAAUAUAAACUUCCCAGAUGGAGUAUCGCUGCCUUCAUGGAUGGAUAAUGAGAUCCCAACUGGUUGUUGUCAAUGGCAACAAGUUGAAUGUAACAACACCAGUGCGCGAGUAAUCCAACUUAUUCUUGAAUUCAUUAGGGAGUGGAAAUUAGGAGAUUGAUAUUUUAAUGCCUCUCUAUUUCAUCCUUUUUGAAGAGCUCAGAAAUCUCUCUUUAAAGAGUAAUAAUUUAGUAGGACGGAUUGAGAAUCAAGGUAUGCUAUCAUCUCUUCUUAAUUAGGCAGCCAACUGAUUCAAUUUUAUCAUUCCUAUUUUCUUUAGUUUUAUAAAUUUUUUUCUUUGAGUGAUAAUAUAUAUAUAUUGCCACUUAAAGAAAAAACUUAUAAAACUAAGGAAAAUAGGAAUAAUAAAAUUGAAUCAGUUGACUGCCUAAUUAAAAAGAGAUGAUAGUGUACCUUCAUUCUCAGUCCAUCCUACUAAAUUAUUCCCCCUUCAAGAGAGAUUUCUGAGCUCUUCAAAUGGAAGAAAUAGAGAGGCAUUAAAAUACCAAUCUCCUAAUUUUUACUCCCUAUGAAUUCAAGAUUAAGUUGGAUUACUAGCGCAAUGGUGUUGCUGCAUUCAACUCCUUGCCAUUGACAACAGUCAGUUGUAGUCUCAUUAUCCAUCCACGAAGGCAGCGAUGCUCCAUCUGGAAAAUUCAUAUUUGCUUUGAGGUUUAGAAGAGCAACCCUUUCUUCUUCCCAACACCCUAAACAAUACCAUCCGUUUAGAAAUGAAAGCGCAAUCAUCACUAACAUUACCAGUAACUUAAUUCCCAUCUUUCUUAACUACUAAGUCACUAAGUCUUACUUUUUUAUGUAUAAACAAGGUUGCAAAAUCUCCAAUUUAUAGUUCUAAAAGUGGAGUUGCCAUGUUAGGUGUUUAAUUUUUAAUCAUAGACUUUUUCUCAAAGUUGUAAAAUUCGUAGCACCUUCUCAUUGUCUAAUGGAUUAAUUGAAAUUUGCCCAUCUUUAUUAACUCUCAACACACUAAAUGAACAGAACUGUUUCUUUUUUUUUUCUUUUUUCUUGGGGGGGGGGUGGGGGGGGGGGGAUUGGAACAAAAUGUUCUUAUCAUUUGCUUGUUUUGUCGAAGUUGGCCUUAUUGUUUUAAUUUUCGCAAUGAAGUCCCUGAAAUCUAUCAAAUCUUGUGCAAAUUUAUCAAACAAUUAACAUCCCUUUUUCUUCAAGACAACUUUUUCUUUUUUCUGCUUUCGUAAUAGUAUCACUGACAAAUAACAAUAAACUGAAUAAUAUGUUACACCUUUUUGACAAAAUGUGAUUCAAAAUAUAUGCAAAAAAUGUUAAGAAAAUCUCUCUCUCUCUCUCUCUCUCUCACACACACACAGAGGUAGGUGUGUUUUGAUUUGUUAAGAAAACAAAUAAAAAUAAUAAUUUAUCUCUUUACUGAAAAAUCUAAAAUAAUUUAUGAUAUAUUUGAAAAUUCCAAGUGGAUGAAUAAGAAUCUUGAAAAAGUUUUUCGUUUGUCUAUAAUGAUAGACAAACCCAUCUAUAUUAUAGAAAAUAUUCUAUCGAAUUCGAACAUGAACUUUAUUUACAUUAGGAUUCACUAUUUUUAUAUUAUCGAUGCUUCGUAAUUUUAUUUCAGUAUAUCAAUUUAUAUAUGUAUGUGUGUGCAAGCUCGCACGCUUUUCUACAAAUAAACACGGGAAGCAUGAUCACUUGGUAUUUAUCACACUUUCUUUUUGUCUUUAUAAAGCAAAAGUUGAAUUGAAAUAGAAGAAAAACAGUGAAAUUCAAAUCUGAAAUUAGAUAUAAUUGUAGUCACGCAAACACAAACACAAACACGGAGAGUCAUGUUCCUCGUGGACAUAUGAAUAAUGAGAUUGAGAGGAGAGAAGUUUACCUCCUUGGAAAGAGUUCCAUUGAGUCCACACUAGCAAAGAUUAAACCUUCAUAGAAGUCAUUACCCUAAUGAUUGAAGUUUGAAUAAAGUUUGCAUCCAACCUCCAGUUGGUUUAAAUGCCUCAACUCUGUGCAUGAAAAACAUUGAUAUGUUAGAAUGUGAUUCUCUGUCUAGUCGUGUUCUUCUUCCCAUUGUUGUUGCUUUUUAGACAGUUGCACAGUGCAGGGAGAAGCCACAUUUGUUGACUCCUAAACAUCAACCGUAAUUGUUGACAAAAAAAACCCUGCAGCCAUAUUUUAUUAUAAUUGAAUUACCAUAGACGCCAUUCCACAAAUAGAAUUAAUGCAAUGUUAAACGGCACAUAAGUCAUUCCACAUUUCAACUAUGAAUGAAUGCGACAAUUGUGGCUAAUAUUUCAUUGGUCAACAUCUGUGAUUCUCCCAAUGCAGUGUAUAAUGGUCUGAAAAGCGAUAUACAGGAACAGGGACGGAUCCAAGAUUGGAUCCACGAUCGGGCUACAAAAUUUCAAGCCGGGCUACUACGUGGAAAAAAAAAUUUUUACACAUAAAAAACUGAUUUUUUACCCCAAAAAAAUAAAAAAUACCUUAAAAAAAAAUUCUUGGACCUGGGGGGGGGCUACAGCCCAACCCAACCCCCCCAUAUCCGUCUCUGUAUAGGAGAAGAGAAGUGCGACCAAACAGAUUAACAUGUCUAAUUGUAAUCAAUACAAUAAGUGUCAUAUAUCAUAAACGGUCUCGAUUGUUGUUUAUUGUUUAAGAAAAUUAUCGAGAUAUUAACUGUUAGGAAUUUUGCGUUCUUUUGUGUAGUUGUGUGAAAGUGGCCAAUCAAUCAAACAAAAAAUAGUAAAGAACACCAAAUCUUGGUCACCAAGUUCGGCCAAAUGCCUAAUCUGGGGGGCUCAGAGGCAAGCCCGUUCACUAUGUGCAAAGUAACCCUUCAAGAGACAGUGAAAACAAUGAAAAAACCACAGACAUCGGGUUUGAUCAUUGAUCCAAAGGAUCUCACACAAAUCAACCCUUAAUCAACCAAAGCACAAACACUCAAACUGCCGACCAAAACCAGACACAACAAAUGGCCAAAACAACCGGCCAAAGUUACUGUAGCAGGAAGGCUUUCACAUCACACUUCUAAAUAUACAAUGAUUCUAUGAAAAACCACAAGAAUCAAAAACCCAAAAGAAGAAGGAGAUGAAGUUUUCUCGAAGAGAACUCAAAGCCCAGAGAGAGAAAAAUUUUGAAGUCAAAAACGUGUAUCACUGAAAAGCCAAUGGACCAUCCCUUGAUAAACACAAUUGAAAAAUCAGAUUGCAUUUCAAC